Molecule: RNA transcript, 5943 nt
Organism: Anolis carolinensis (green anole)
Lineage: Eukaryota; Metazoa; Chordata; Lepidosauria; Squamata; Anolidae
Gene name: alpha-2Da adrenergic receptor
Exons: 2
Source: RefSeq, a predicted model, not a curated record
GUGUCACAUGUUACCAUUUCACACAAAAAGUUACAAACGGUUUUAAUGAGCUUAUCAAGUUUGGGUUGCUGUGAGUUUUCCGGGCUUAUGGCCAUGUUCCAAAAGCAUUUUCUCCUGAUGUUUCGCCUGCAUCUAUGGCAGGCAUCCUCCGAGGUUGUGAGGCCUGUUGGAAACUAGGCAAGUGGGGUUUAUAUAUCCGUGGAAGGUCUAGGGUGGGAGAAAGAACUUUUGUCUGCCUGAGGCAGGCGUGAAUGUUUCAAUCAAUAUUGAAUAGCCAUUUAGUUUCGAGGUCUGGCAGCUUCCUGCCUGGGGGAAUCCUUUGUUAGGAGGUGUUAGCUGGCUCUGAUCGUUUCAUGUCUGAAAUUCCUCUCUUUUCUGAGUCUUGUUCUUUAUUCACUGUCCUGAGUUUAGAGUUUUUUAAAAUACUGUUAGCCAGAUUUUGUUCAUUUUCAGGCUUUCCUCCUUUUUGUUGAAAUUGUCCACAUCCUUGUGGAUUUCCAAGGUUUCUUGAAGCUGACAGGCUAUUCAAUGCUAAUCAAAGUGGCCAACUGAACAUUCACACCUGCUUCCAACAGACAAAGCGUUCUUUCUCCCGCCCUUCCACAGAUAUAUAAAUCCCACCUGACUAGUUUCCAACAGAUCUCACUACCUCUGUUUUAAUUAUGUUAUAAAGUUUCACUAACUAUUUUGAGCCAGAAAAGCAUCUAAUAAAAACAAUCCCUGUAUAAGAGGCAUGGGCAAACUUGGGCUUCCUUUCCCCCCUCAGCCGCUUAAGCGAGGAGAAAGAGAAGGAGACGCUUAAGCGGUUGAGGGGGGAAAGGAAGGGGCCUGAGGCUCUGAGGAAGGGUGGGAGUUGGCGCCCAAAACACCUGGAGAGAAAGCCCAAGUUUCCCCAUGCCUGUUGUAUAGUCCUGGGGAGUUUUUAAUGGAGGCGUGCUGUUCCCUUUGCUUUCUGGAGCCGAGAGGCUUUCCUAGCGGGGCCAUGAUGAGGAUUUCAGACCCCGCCCUCCCUCCUGGCUCCUGGCCGGUCUGCCGCCCUCUAAGCAGGAUACGGGCUGGGAAGUUUCAUGGGCGGGAGCCCGACCCCUCCUGCGCGGAAGGGCCGGGCCUGGGCACUGCCCUUCCUUCCCUUCCCUUCCCUUCCCUCCCCUACUUGGGAAGGCAGGUGGGAGCCCAGGCAAGGGGCAGCGGGGCAAGCUCGCCCUCUCUCCCCUCCUGGGCUCCUCCGCUUUGGGAGCGGGCGGCCCCUGCAUGCCCCGCCAGCCGGAGCUGGACGGGCGGCUGCCUUCCUGCCUGACCGGCCACGCACCCACCCAGCCGCCCGCCCAGGCACUGGAGAGCCCUCCCCUCCCCUCUUUCCCUCCCUUCCUCCCUUUCUGUCUCUUCCCGAGGGACGGGCGCAAGGAGGGCGCGCGCAGAGGACCCGACGCCAGUUCGCGGAAAGGGAAACUGCAACCACAGCAGAAAAGAGAGGCCCCACCACACCGAGGAGCCGUUGGAGGGCCUAACCGCACCGACGCGGCGGGAUCUGGGCAGCAGAGGCAGCCGCGGGCGAUGCGCGCACUUUCAGGGGCAGCGGGGUCAUCGCCCUUCCAGCCCCUCCUGCAAUCUGCGCCUCGCUUCUGAACCCUGAUGCGGUGCCCCCGUCCAGGAUGGCUCCUGGCAAGAGGAGAGCUGCUGUGGGCGCUGCCCUAGAGGGUGGAAUGGGCCCAGCGCCUUAAGGGGGCCUGAGCAAGGCCGGCGCCUGUCCUGUGAGCGUGCGCAGGCCUCUCUCGGCUCUCCCAUGGCCUGGGCUGGGGCCGAAGGGGAUGGAGCCGCAGCACAAUGGAUCGAGCAACCGGAGUGGGCCCGGAGAGGGGACUCUCCUUCCCUACACGCCCUUGGAGACGGCGCUCAUCCUGUUGGCGGUGCUGACGAUGGCCUUUGUGACACUGAUGGGGAACAUUCUGGUGGUGAUGGCGGUGUGCACCAGCCGGGCGCUCCGGGCCCCGCAGAAUCUCUUCGUGGUCUCUCUGGCCGUGGCGGACAUCCUGGUGGCCACCCUCAUCAUCCCUUUCUCCUUGGCCAAUGAGGUCAUGGACUACUGGUGCUUUGGCAACCUCUGGUGCCGGCUCUACCUGUCGCUGGACGUGCUCUUCUGCACCUCCUCCAUCAUGCACCUCUGUGCCAUCAGCCUGGAUCGGUACUGGGCGGUCACCCGGGCCGCCCGGUACAACCUCAAAAGGAGCCCCCGGAGGGUCAAGAUCACCAUCGCAUGCAUCUGGGUCAUUGCCGCCCUGGUCGCCUUGCCGCCUCUUUUCAAGACAUCUCCUGAGGACAAUGUGUGCUUGCUCCACGAUGACACCUGGUACGUGCUGGCUUCCUGCACGGCCUCCUUCUUCGCCCCCUGCUUCAUCAUGGUGGCUGUCUACUGCCGGAUCUACCAUGUGGCCAAGCACAGGAACUCUGCGAUCAUUGCAGCAAGGCGGGCCUCCCAUCCCACCUUCAAAUCUGUGGGCAAGCAUGACACCAGGACGGUGAGCACCCAGCAGUACUUUGAGGAAGGGCCGAACAAAGUCUUGGAGCACAGCCAGCUUGCCCGUGUCCAGCCAAACCUGCCCCGUCUCUCUUGGGAAAGGAGGUUGGAAGAGAUGGGCAGCAGUGGGGCCGGUCCAUGCAGGACCCCACGGCUGUCUUGGUCCAUGCCCAACUGCCAACAGAAGCGCAGAAGUCGGGACAUGUCCUUUUCCUCUGGCCAGCAGCGGCGCAGAAGCCGGGACAUGUCCUUCUCCUCUGGCCAGCAGAGGCGCAGAAGUCGGGACAUGUCCUUCUCCUCCCACCGGCUGAUGCAGGCACGGGAGCGCAGGUUCACCUUUGUCCUGGCUUUCAUCAUUGGAGCAUUUGUGCUCUGUUGGUUUCCGUUCUUCUUCAUGUACAGCCUCGAAUCUGUGCUUGGGAAAGACUGCUGCAUCUCCAGGACUCUCUUCAAAUUCUUCUUCUGGAUCGGUUACUGCAAUAGCAGCUUCAACCCUAUCAUUUACACUAUCUUCAACCGGGACUUCCGCAAAGCCUUCCAGCACCUUCUGUGCCAGGCUGAUCCACUUCGGCAUCUAAAAUGAGGAUCUUGGCAGAGAGUUGGUGGAGCGUGUAAGUGAGAAAGACAGUAGUGCACAGAGCCUUGCAGGCCGGGGAUUAUAAAACAAGUAACUGUGCCUCACAGGUUUCUGUAUCACCUUUGGGCCUGAAUUGCAGUAUUUGUGACCGACACCCUCCUCAGAGAGAGCAGCAAUACAGGGAGACUUGGCAAAGUCAUUCAUCUCCAGAGGGCACUGGACACAGGAGCAGAAAACAAGAGACUGGUCAGUCCCAUCUAUGUAACUUUGCGGAAUAUGUAGAAGAAGCCUGAUAGAAAGAUGUAUUUUCCUUGGGAGCAGAUUUACUGCAAGGACAAGGGUGGUUCUGGGAGAAAGCUAUUCUGUUCACUAUUUGCUCAGCCUGUCCCUAGCUUCAGGGACAAAGCUCGGGCCUUCAGGAUGUCUGCCUUGUGUCUCUGACUAGCCUGUCUGUUUCGAGAUCAGAGAGGAACUGGGUACCGCAAAAGGGAGAUCUGACGUUGAUUGAGUCAUUCAGCCAUCUGGCUUCGGGUCUGGGAAACAUUGCCCCAGAUCCCAAUAUGCUGGGCAGAUGCCAGCAAAAAACUUUGAAAAAUGGCUUUCUGUCAGUCACACUGUGUCCAGGGGACUUGUUGACUGUUUUGGGUGAGGCAAGGGCUCUGCCUUGUGAUAGGAUCCUGGGAUAUUUAACUUUAAAGAUACAACAUUUUCCUAGACUCUGGCUCCUGGAUGUUUCCAGCUGGUUAUUUUGCUCCAACUGUAUUGGCUCUUCUAAUUUUGGUCACACUGGGCAGACAAUUGGUCAUUCCAUGAUGUUAGGUAGAGAUUGCAAGCAGUCCCUGCAUCCAACUACUUGGGGUGCACCUAUACUGCAGAAUUAAUGCAGUUGGAUACUAUUUUAACUGCCAUGGUUCAAUACUAUGGCAUAAUGGGUCCUCGAAUUAUGCAAGAUCUUUAGCCUUCUCUGCCAAAGUGCAAAUCUUACCAAACUACAAAUCCCAGGAAUCCAUAGCAUCAGGCCAUGGCAGUUAAAAGUGCUGUUAAACUGCAUUAAUUUUACAGCACAAAUGCAGCCGUGGAGAUGUCUGCCUUUUCCUUUUACUCUAGUUUGUUUGUAGCAGUAUGUUCCAUUAGUCGGAGCUGAAUCCUUAGCACAGGUGCCUGUUCUCUCUAAUGUGUGCCCCCCAAACCUCAGGACCGAGGACCUGUUUCUUGUUUCUCCCCUCGCCUACAUUGCAUGUUUCCAUACACAACCCUCCUAAAUACUGCAAGAGGUGGAGGUGGACUCAGUUAUAAGUUUUAACUGCUCCAUACCUGAGUUUGUAUUUAGAUAACCUGUCCCAUUUCCCUGUCUUUAAAUCACGGUGUGUCAGGCACACAUUCAACAGAAGCAGCUUUUCUUCACAUAGCAAACAGGGGUGGGGAGCUAUUGCUAUUUAAUUUCUGUUCAUUCUGUACUCAUUAAAGAUAUGGUGCCUGUUUAAGAAGGAAACAAAAUGUGACGACUGUAAUGCUAAACGCUGAUCCACUGAUUAUGCAUUGUGGUCACAAGCUGCCUCUUUUAUAUGAUCCCCACUUAGCUAGAUGCCAACAACUCUUGCGAAGUAGGAUAAGAAGAAGACAUGAAAACAUUAUUUUUGUAAUUUGCUUUUCUGUAAAGCUGCUUCCUGUUUGUUUUGUUGUAGGAGUGAUCUUGUGGCGGGGAAAUGCAAUGAGAAAGUUUGGCCACAUGUUGGAAUGACAAAUGCCAUUUUUCUGCAACACAUCUAUACCAAGCCCACCAAUAGAGAGGGUGACUGCAUUUUACAUACAUCCAGCAUCAACAAUUCUGUGUUUAUAGAGAUCAACAAAAACUUCUUUAUGACAAACAUUUUAAGUAACUCACACAAAUGCACUCGGUAGUUUACUUUUUCCAGAAAAGAAAGAACUUCAAAGGAGAUGUAAACAUUGGAUAGAUUUGCAUGGAGACAGAACAUUUAAUUCAAUUAUUAUUUUACUGUAUAUACUCAUGUAUAAGUCUAGAAGAAAAACAGACAAAAACCCUAAGUGAGAUUACCUAUGGGUCUUUGUAAGUACUAUACCUUGAUUCUUAUUACAAAAUGAACCUUUCUCUGCAUAGAGUGCUGAACGGUGAGAGCUUAGUCCAUCCUGGGAGAACCUAAGCGAAGCACAGUCCGCCUGCUCUCUCUGCCAUGGUGCCAUGCCUGGCCUUUUAAAUGCUUGGCUGCCUGCCUGAGGUGCUGCUGGCACAUUCCCCUCUGCAUGGAAUGACCCUCAAAUUGCCCACAGGUCAUUUCAAAAUCCAUAAUUUUAGCCCCCAAACUCACCCUCAACUCUGUUCCAGAAAUUAAAGAAGUGGCACUUGGUACUCGGCACUUGUCAGGUCAGCAGCACUCUUUUCCAGACAAAGACUUGUUGAAUUCAAGUUUUGAUUGCCCACUCAGGUAGAUGUAAGAAAUAGACUGCAAACAGAAUGCACAUUUCUUUAAACAUCCAACGUUCCUGCCACAACAGCUAAGCUUCCCCAAUAUCUGACAUGUUUCAAACGUCUUCCAGAUUACAAGACAGAAUAUUCUUCCUGAUGGUUCUUGUCUGCUGAGAUUAGACUGGAAAUCUCUACCCGCUUAUCACAUUUAAUUUCUUCCUUGUUUUUUUUUUAAAUGCCAGUGGUCUCUUUUCCUUUGUAAAUGUAUUGAGUGUGAUAUGAACUGAGUGUCAAAACACAUGGCCAUACUUUGUUGAAGUUUCUGUUGCCCCCAAUCCACCCAUUCUCGAUUCCACAGGUUUAAACAUUUCCAAAGAUGUUGUGAACUUUCAAUUGAUCUUAAUAAAGCUAUUGCCCAACUGUGAA